Molecule: unclassified non-coding RNA, 240 nt
Filed under: soil metagenome
Description: partial contains 5.8S ribosomal RNA, internal transcribed spacer 2, and large subunit ribosomal RNA
Source: RNAcentral
AACCAUAGAAACCUGCGGAGUACCUGCGGAGGGAUCAUUACCGAGUGAGGGCCCUCCGGGUCCAACCUCCCACCCGUGUUUAACGAACCUUGUUGCUUCGGCGGGCCCGCCUCACGGCCGCCGGGGGGCACCCCGCCCCCGGGCCCGCGCCCGCCGAAGACACCUGUGAACGCUGUCUGAAGUUGCAGUCUGAGACACUAGCUCAAUCAGUUAAAACUUUUAACAACGGAUCUCAGAUCG